UCGGUCUGCGCGCUGUGUGCUGGGGGCUCUGGGAUGGCGACCGGCUCGGGCGGGCCGCGUGGGCUCCCACGCCGCGACGCGGGGCUGGAGCCCGCCACCCUGAGCCUGGAGAAGCGCCCGCGGCGGCGUCCGAGGGUUCCUGGCCGUGAACGCGCGGAGGGCGGCAGCCUGGCCUCGGCCACAGUCCCUGCGGCACCUCGGGAGGGCCGUAGGCGGCCUUCGGCCUGCGUCCCCUUGCCCGGAAAUGCGGAGAGUCGUUAACUGGAUUUGUAUUUAUUGAUCAUCGACUGUGUGCCGGGGAGUUUUUAAUAGAAGCGGUCUGGGGUUUUUUUCGUGUAAAAAGGCUGCGCGGUAUAGCUGUCUUGACGCCUCCCCUGCCCCGGUGUAAAAUCAGUGUGGAAGCAAAGCGCCAUUCAAGGUGCACGUGAUUUCAGCCGUUUCUAGGUGCAAGCACUCUGCGGGCAUUGAGUAUCGCCAGUUCUGCAGGUAGAAGAUGGAUGCUUGAAGCAUAGGCUGCUGCUAGCUCAGAACCACGUGGGAACACCCAGGUGACUUAAGGAAGUCCUUGGUGAGGAUUUUGAAAAUUUAAUCUUCGCAAGAGUUGAGUGGAUCACUUAGAAUUUCUGGGAACCUGAGGAGUACUGAAAUGAUUGCCUUCGAAUGGUCCAUAAACAUACAUUUAAGACAAUGCAGAUAUGAAUAAAUAUUUUAAUGUG
Molecule: long non-coding RNA, 716 nt
Organism: Microcebus murinus (gray mouse lemur)
Lineage: Eukaryota; Metazoa; Chordata; Mammalia; Primates; Cheirogaleidae
Source: RefSeq, a predicted model, not a curated record